UACGAAGGGGGCUAGCGUUGCUCGGAAUGACUGGGCGUAAAGGGCGCGUAGGCGGAUGGCACAGUCAGAUGUGAAAUUCCCGGGCUUAACCUGGGGGCUGCAUUUGAUACGUGUUGUCUUGAGUUCGGAAGAGGGUCGUGGAAUUCCCAGUGUAGAGGUGAAAUUCGUAGAUAUUGGGAAGAACACCGGUGGCGAAGGCGGCGACCUGGUCCGACACUGACACUGAGGCGCGAGAGCGUGGGGAGCAAACAGG
Molecule: ribosomal RNA, 253 nt
Filed under: uncultured bacterium
Lineage: Bacteria
Description: partial 16S ribosomal RNA
Rfam family: Bacterial small subunit ribosomal RNA
Source: RNAcentral